Molecule: ribosomal RNA, 497 nt
Filed under: uncultured bacterium
Lineage: Bacteria
Description: partial 16S ribosomal RNA
Rfam family: Bacterial small subunit ribosomal RNA
Source: RNAcentral
GAUGAACGCUGGCGGCGUGCCUAAUACAUGCGAGUCGAGCGAACAGACGAGGAGCUUGCUCCUCUGACGUUAGCGGCGGACGGGUGAGUAACACGUGGAUAACCUACCUAUAAGACUGGGAUAACUUCGGGAAACCGGAGCUAAUACCGGAUAAUAUAUUGAACCGCAUGGUUCAAUAGUGAAAGACGGUUUUGCUGUCACUUAUAGAUGGAUCCGCGCCGCAUUAGCUGGUUGGUAAGGUAACGGCUUACCAAGGCAACGAUGCGUAGCCGACCUGAGAGGGUGAUCGGCCACACUGGAACUGAGACACGGUCCAGACUCCUACGGGAGGCAGCAGUAGGGAAUCUUCCGCAAUGGGCGAAAGCCUGACGGAGCAACGCCGCGUGAGUGAUGAAGGUCUUCGGAUCGUAAAACUCUGUUAUUAGGGAAGAACAAAUGUGUAAGUAACUAUGCACGUCUUGACGGUACCUAAUCAGAAAGCCACGGCUAACUACGUG